GAUUGCAGGCUGCAACCCGCCUGCAUGAAGUUGGAAUCGCUAGUAAUCGCGGAUCAGCAUGCCGCGGUGAAUACGUUCCCGGGCCUUGUACACACCGCCCGUCACACCAUGAGAGUCGGGAACACCCGAAGUCCGUAGUCUGACCGCAAGGGGACGCGGCCGAAGGUGGGAUUGAUGACUGGGGUGAAGUCGUAACAAGGUACC
RNAcentral lists this ribosomal RNA (204 nucleotides) under uncultured bacterium. RNAcentral describes it as "partial 16S ribosomal RNA". It matches the Rfam family "Bacterial small subunit ribosomal RNA", at positions 1296 to 1500 of the family's 1533-position model. The record is from RNAcentral.